RNAcentral lists this ribosomal RNA (504 nucleotides) under Vibrio sp. 8Bb1S18. Its description in RNAcentral is "bacterial SSU rRNA". It matches the Rfam family "Bacterial small subunit ribosomal RNA", at positions 380 to 876 of the family's 1533-position model. Lineage: Bacteria; Pseudomonadati; Pseudomonadota; Gammaproteobacteria; Vibrionales; Vibrionaceae. The record is from RNAcentral.
AGCCUGAUGCAGCCAUGCCGCGUGUGUGAAGAAGGCCUUCGGGUUGUAAAGCACUUUCAGUCGUGAGGAAGGUAGUGCAGUUAAUAGCUGCAUUAUUUGACGUUAGCGACAGAAGAAGCACCGGCUAACUCCGUGCCAGCAGCCGCGGUAAUACGGAGGGUGCGAGCGUUAAUCGGAAUUACUGGGCGUAAAGCGCAUGCAGGUGGUUUGUUAAGUCAGAUGUGAAAGCCCGGGGCUCAACCUCGGAAUUGCAUUUGAAACUGGCAGACUAGAGUACUGUAGAGGGGGGUAGAAUUUCAGGUGUAGCGGUGAAAUGCGUAGAGAUCUGAAGGAAUACCGGUGGCGAAGGCGGCCCCCUGGACAGAUACUGACACUCAGAUGCGAAAGCGUGGGGAGCAAACAGGUUUAGAUACCCUGGUAGUCCACGCCGUAAACGAUGUCUACUUGGAGGUGGUGGCCUUGAGCCGUGGCUUUCGGAGCUAACGCGUUAAGUAGACCGCCUGG